Molecule: ribosomal RNA, 253 nt
Filed under: uncultured bacterium
Lineage: Bacteria
Description: partial 16S ribosomal RNA
Rfam family: Bacterial small subunit ribosomal RNA
Source: RNAcentral
GACAGAGGGGGCAAGCGUUGCUCGGAAUUACUGGGCGUAAAGGGCGCGUAGGCGGGAUGGCAAGUCGGUCGUGAAAUCCUUCGGCUCAACCGAAGAACGUCGAUCGAUACUGCUGUUCUUGAGGGUUGCAGAGGAGACUGGAAUUCCCGGUGUAGCGGUGAAAUGUGUAGAGAUCGGGAGGAACACCGGUGGCGAAGGCGGGUCUCUGGACAGUUCCUGACGCUGAUGCACGAAGGCCAGGGGAGCAAACGGG